UGUCUGUGGGAUAAAGGUUAGUCUUUAAAAGAUAAACUAACACUUAAACCAAUGACAUU
RNAcentral lists this microRNA precursor (59 nucleotides) under Euprymna scolopes. Its description in RNAcentral is "Esc-Mir-12516_pre stem-loop". Lineage: Eukaryota; Metazoa; Mollusca; Cephalopoda; Sepiida; Sepiolidae. The record is from RNAcentral.